Molecule: long non-coding RNA, 3844 nt
Organism: Brachypodium distachyon (stiff brome)
Lineage: Eukaryota; Viridiplantae; Streptophyta; Magnoliopsida; Poales; Poaceae
Exons: 7
Source: RefSeq, a predicted model, not a curated record
AAUGCAUUUUGCAAAAAAAUCCUCGAAAAUUCCCGACCAAACAGGCGGUCCUCCCACGCUCUUCUUCCUCGCCGCACGCCGCCGCUCCACUCGUACGCCGCAUGCCGCCGCUGCUCCGCUCGUACGCCGCACGCAGCGACGGAUAGCUUGCCUCGCUACCUCCCUCCGCCGUCUAGCUCCACUGGGCUGCUCCCGCUCCGCCGUCUAGCUCCCCCGUGCUGCUCGCCCUCCGCCUUCGAAGGUUGGGUUUUUCUCGCUACACCCUGCCCGCCGGCUCGCUGACCGCCUCCGCCAAGCGCCCAGCCGUCGCGCGGGCUGGCCGCCUCCGCCGUACUCCCUGCCGUCGCGCUCGCCGGCCCCCUCUACCUCCGAGGCACGGCCUCCUCCUGCCGCUGAAACCUCCCGCGGCCGUGCCUCCACCACGGGUCACUUCGCCUCCGGCUCGUCUCCCCUCCCUCAACAACAAGGUCGUCCACAAGUCGUCGCUCCUAUCCAGCCCGCCGCUGCCCAGCUCACCAGCUAUCCAUUACGCCAAUGUGUCCCUCAAGAGGAGGCAGAAGUGCAGAACAACAAACAUCGGCAGAGGAAGCAUGACUGAAGAAGUGCCUACUUUCUGAAAGAAUUAUGGAGCCAACAGCUAUCUUAGAGCCAUCCUCCACUCUUUGGCACCUAUUUUGCAGAUGGUAUUGCCUGCUAUCCGAAGCCCUCUGAAAAUUGCCGUUCUGAAUUUUAGAACUGCGAAGCCGAAGCAAACAGGUUCUUCCUGUCAGGAGAACAGAUCAAGUUUAUAGCUAGCAGAAACACAAGAGCUGCUGAGUUUUUCUGAACCUAUAUCUCUAUGCAAAAUUUCUGAAUUCUCAUGAUGUCAGAUGUUGAGCAGAGCUACAUUAUGAUCAAACCUGAUGGUGUUCAACGUGGUCUGGUAUGCGUUUCUUGACUUUUGUCACUGUUUUUGUUUAAUUUCUGUUAUCUGUUUCAGUUCAGAUCAAACACGUAGCAUGUGAAUUAUAAAAUAAACUGAAAUUGUGAACUGAAUAUUACAUGUACACGUAUAUUCAUCACAAAUUCUUGAAUUAACUGAAAUUCUCAGAAAAUUCAGUUAACUGAACUAUAACAAAUUCAUUUUUCAUAAUUUUUAACUAUCCAUGUUGCAUUAUGCAGAAAUCUUGACCCUAAACACAUUUUUUCAAGUGCAGAAUCUAAUUAACUGAAUUAUGCAGAAAUCUUGACCCUGAAAUAUUUUCUUCAAAAGUUUCAGAACUUUAAGUUUCUAAGCUAAAACAGAAUUCGCAGUGGGUUUCUAAGCAAUGUUACAAUUAUCAAAAGUCAGGGCACUAGUGCAUCUGCAAUUUUGAGUUUCUAAGCCAAAGCCUAGAAGCCAUCUUGUUCCUGAAAAUAUUUUCAGAUAUCAUCCCAUAAUCAUCACAGAAACCAUCCCAAGUACAACUAGUUACUGAAACAACUGAUGUAGUUACUGAAACUAAUACUACAACUAACAUUCAUCACACAACUACUGCAGGCACAAUUCUCUGAACAUCAUCACACAAUUGCAGAGGUUGUUGUUAUACAAUUCUGUAGAGGAACAUCAUCAUCACACAAAUAUCUGAACAUCAACUAAAUUCUUGAGUUAACUGUUACAAUAUGUAUAUCAUGAAGCUGUUACAUCAGUACUGAAAUUAGGGACAAAUUCAGUUAACAGACACAACUAUUAACUGAACUGGAACUGAACUAGGGACACCUGAUUUUCCUGCACAUGCAGCCAUGCCACAUCAGCAACUUGCCACAUCAUCAUUGUUAGUGUUUUUUUCUGUGAGAAAGUGGCCGGGUUAAUUGCCCCCGGAUGGACUCAGCUGCCCGCCUCCCUGCAGCCCCUCCCCAAUCCUGAUCUUUCUCCUUCCACUAACCGCCGGGUAGUGCUGCACUACACGUCCGUUCCAUCGGCAUUUCAAGCGAUUCCCCUGCCUCGUCUUUUAUCAUCCGUCUCCUCAUCCUCUUUUCCCUCAUCGCCCUCGUGAAGAGAAACUCGGUUUCGACUGUGUCUCGGUUUUUCCUUCCGGCGAUUCCGCCCGUCCCCCCCCCUAGCCGCCCUCGAAUUGGCGGCUCCGCCCAUGCCAGGCAGGCGGGCAUUGCGACGACGGCCACAAGCACCGCCGAGGACGUAGAUUCAAGAGGAGAAGGCAGCCGCGGAUUUGAGAAGGCAGCAACAGAUUUAGUGGAUGGAAAUCGGGAGGAAAUUGCGAUGGCACGGAGAAAGGAAAAUCAGGAGGAUUUUGUUCUCCCAACGUUUCUCUUUCCAGGCGUUUCCCUCGGGACAUCUUUAAUUCGGUAGCCUAGCAGUCGAUAUACAGUGGAUUUCCUAAUCCCACCCAAUUCGGGAGGAGGGGUGGCGGCCCCUGGGUCAUGCCGCCGUAGCCCGUAGCCCCGUGCCGCCACGCCUCCAGAGAAGCUGCUCCGCCGCGGGAGGGACACUGCCGCCACAUCGACCAUUGACAGGGGCGUCGGCGUUGUGGCUAGGGGAGAGGUGGAAGCCGGCAGCGAGAACGAGGCAUGCAGUCAAUCUCAAUAGCCACAAAAAUUCAGAACCCGAUGAAUGGAGUUGACCAAUCGUGUUCACUUUUAAAGAUCCGUCUGGAAUCAUCGUCUUCCAGCACAGCUGUGCACCCCUGCUCAGACGUCUUCUCCGGCAUCAACCUCCAAUUUGUAUGAAAUGAGGAUCAAGAUCAGAAUAAGGCGACGUCCUCCUCUUCAGCAGCAGAGGAAGACAAGCGCCACCUCGUCCUCGUCCUCAGAAGAAGGCGAUGACCUCCUCUUCGGCAACCUCCUUCCUCGGUGGCAGACGUCGAGGGAGCUGCAGAGGCGGGGGAGACUCACGCAGGAGCGGCACGGCCGUAUGAGGGAGUGCCGCUAGCAAGCCCCCCCCCCCCCCCCCCCGCCCGAUUGCUCCUCCACGAUUGCAAUCCACCAGGUCCGACGUCCGCGAGAUGGAUUGCCUCUGCGAGAUUGGAAUCGGCUCCGCGAGAUUUGAUGCGUCCGCGAGAUUGGAUGAGGCUGGUGGGAGCUCUGCUUGCCGGACGGUGGAAGUUGGCGGGGAAGAUUCCAGUUUUGAUUUUUCAAUUUGAAUCCCAAAUUUCAAACGAUCCGCAUGUUUGAGGGGUUUUUGGCAAAAUUUAAAUUAAACUAGAGGGGAGGAAGGAUGCGACAUCCUUUUAUGGACAGAGGGAGUAGUAUUUGUACAACAUCGUUGAGCACCGUAAGCAAUUUUGAUACCUUUAAUUUGUACAAAUAUUCACACAGCAAAAAUUCAAUAGAAAAAUUGUUUUGAUGUAGUUCUAGGCGCCUAGCCCACGACCAAGUUUGUUUCCGAGUGUGGCAUUCGGCAAGGCCAUGACAACGAUCCAAACGAUCGUGCCGCAGAUUGAUGAGGUGGCAUCAUCCCAACCGGCACCGUCGAUGGAGAGUGGAGACCUCACAAGUCGGCAGAGGAACGAAAUGAUAAAAUCGAUCCAGCCCUGACCUCUCCUGAGCCUGUGGAUUGAUUCUGUCGUCCUGCGCUUAGAGAUGGGGAAUUUGAAAGUUGGAACGACACCAGACGAUCGGACGAACUCGUGCAGUCGUGUCGUGCAAGCGAUCGAGGGAAGAAAAAAUCGGGAGUUGCUGGACCAUGAGCGGAGUGCUACAAGAAGCAACCAAUAGUAUUAUUUUUCUUCCUUGUCAUCUAGCGAUUAUAAACUCUCAGCUACCUAGGCAAUCCUGGCGAGAAGUUUAACCAGAGGUGUCCGUCGAGUGGAUUAUCAUUUGAUCUUUACUAUCUCCGGGCAUUAUCCCUUGAAUCUCCAUGGAGUUU